This is a non-coding RNA of Microcebus murinus (gray mouse lemur), 886 nucleotides long. The record is from RefSeq and is a predicted model, not a curated record. NCBI's taxonomy places the organism in Eukaryota, Metazoa, Chordata, Mammalia, Primates, Cheirogaleidae.
CCCCGCCGAGAGCGAGGCCGAGUCGCCCUCCCCACUCCACGCCCCCUUUCUGGCUCCUUGGAGAGGCUCGGAAACACUCUACGGUUACGGGUGAAAGUAACCAGAUAUGUGGAAUCUUUAACUUCCUGGCCCUGCGACUGGCACACCAACAUACAGUAAACACUCGUUGAACUGAAGUUGUCAUUGAUAUUUUUUUCUAAAGUCAACAAGCAAAAUGCCUUAAGUGACUCCAAACUCUGUUGCCAUGGCCUUUCCUUCUGCUUUUGCUCUGAUCGGAUCCCUUUCACUUCUUGGUUGCCAAUGCUUGGAUUGCACAUUUUCCAUGAACAUUUUUGAAGACCUCUCAGAAUUGCCUAUCUUUGUCACUAGACUGUGAAGUUAACAAGAGGAAGGAUUCAUCUUUGCAUAGCCAGAGUACAACAGAAGAUUUGAAAGCCGUAUGAUUAAAGAAGGAACUCAAUGAUGUCAGACUUUCUGAACAUGGUCUCAAGCAAUGGCAGCCUAUAUUUCAGAUUAAAGGAAGGAUCCAUAUGUUUUGGCAAUUAAACUUAGAUAACAAAGUUAAUGAUCUAUUUAAAAUGGAUAAUGUACAGUGUCAUAUAGAAACAACCAUGUGUAAAUGUUAGAUAUUUUGCUUAUUUUAUUUGACUGCAGAGCUCUACUUCUCUUUUUUUUUCCAUUUGUUAUAAUUAACACUGACCUUUAAUCAAGAGUAUUAACCACCACUCUGAACCAAAGUUAAAUACAUGAUAACAUUAUCUCUCUAUUGAGAAAUUAGUACACAAUAUUAGUUAAUGUAUUUGUAACAUCCUGCAAAAAUUACAUUCUUCUUAUUAGGAAAGCAAAUCAUAUAAACAUUGUGACGUCUCUUACCUCAAAAUCAAUA